Molecule: ribosomal RNA, 433 nt
Filed under: uncultured bacterium
Lineage: Bacteria
Description: partial 16S ribosomal RNA
Rfam family: Bacterial small subunit ribosomal RNA
Source: RNAcentral
AACGAACGCUGGCGGCAUGCCUAACACAUGCCAGUCGAACGAGACCUUCGGGUCUAGUGGCGCACGGGUGCGUAACGCGUGGGAACCUGCCCUUAGGUUCGGAAUAACUCCCCGAAAGGGGUGCUAAUACCGGAUAAUGUCUUCGGACCAAAGAUUUAUCGCCUUUGGAUGGGCCCGCGUUGGAUUAGCUAGUUGGUAGGGUAAAAGCCUACCAAGGCGACGAUCCAUAGCUGGUCUGAGAGGAUGAUCAGCCACACUGGGACUGAGACACGGCCCAGACUCCUACGGGAGGCAGCAGUGGGGAAUAUUGGACAAUGGGCGAAAGCCUGAUCCAGCAAUGCCGCGUGAGUGAUGAAGGCCUUAGGGUUGUAAAGCUCUUUUACCCGGGAUGAUAAUGACAGUACCGGGAGAAUAAGCUCCGGCUACCUCCGUG